ACCCAGGAGAGAUAAAAUAUAAAGAAAGUUAAAGUUUCCAAAGGGUGAUGAAAUUAAUUCUUGGGCUUAGAAAAUAAUGACAAUAUCUCACAUUCUUAUAGUUCUUAUCUACCAACACGCUUUGGAGUUUCCUAGCAAAAAAAUUACCCGAGUCAGAGCUUUUGUCCCGAGAUUAAACAUGCCCUGUGACUAUACUGUUACAGCUACAGAUAACUCACACCUUUUGGUUGUAAAUGUACUAGUCUCAAAUUCAUCUGUUUGCUUGCAAAACAGAUGGGCUCUAUUGAGUGACAAAACUAAGCCGAUGCAGCUGAGGCAAUACUCCAACAGGGUGAAAGCACUCAAUCUGGUUCCCAUGUUUCUCCUGCAAAAGAACCUUCCCCUUGCUUAGCCAACUCUACUUCCCCUCCUUGAGGAAGACGGGAGGAUUCUCUGUGAUCUCCAGGGUGAAACCAUAUUAGAUACACAUGUGGAUCCAUUUUUACCAGGUAUGCCACUUAUUCUGUUGCAUAUGAAGGGAAAACUAUAUAG
Long non-coding RNA from Homo sapiens (human), 531 nucleotides. NCBI's taxonomy places the organism in Eukaryota, Metazoa, Chordata, Mammalia, Primates, Hominidae. The record is from Ensembl.